AAAACUGUUUCAGACAACAUUGGAGGUUUCUGUGAUUUUUUUUUUCUUUUAAAGGAGGGAAGUCCCAAUAUGAAAUCUGAAAAGCAAUCAAUUUAAAAUAUAUAUUUGGGGCCCCAUUUCCUCGCCACCCCGCCCUCCGACCUGCAGGGCCUCGAAUUCCCAGAGAACAAGCUCAGACUUGCCUGCCUGUGGGGUGUGGGAGUGGGGCUGGGGGUGAGGUGGGGGCAGGAAGGGUGGUCAGUCAUAGUGACCUUUAGUUGCAGGACCGUUGCACAGAGCUCGCCUCAACCCACCUAAGCCCUCAUGGCCUGAAUUGAGCCAAUUUUACAAGCAAGCACUGUCCCUGUUUGGAGGGAACCUUGGAUAAGGGAUGGUGGGAGGAAAACGAUGAUCCAAGCCAGGGAUGAGAUGAAGGGAAGGGGCAAGAGGGUGACCUCCAUGGCCUCCCUGGUGGCCAAAGCAAGGGGAGGUUCCCGCAGUUUCACCCUGUCCUGAACAGUUCAAGCCCUGCCUCCAUUCUCAACUGCGUCUAUUGCAGGGCUUCUUGGCCUUGGUUACCUUAGCUCCUGAGCAUCCAUUCAAGGGGAAGGAAGUCCCCUCCCCAGCUGCAAAGACACUUCUGCCUGCAACAGGAGGCCCUGUGCCUUCUCCAGGGUGUGGGUUUAUGAUAAAUCUUUGCAAUGACCACACCACUGAGGAGAAGAAAAUAGUCCUGACUCUAGAAGGCUCCCUGGGCUCUCGCAGCCAUUCAAGACCCAGACCGUUCUUCUCCACACACCCCCAGCCCCCAACCCAGGCAUCUUUCUGGGCCUGCAGCUCCUCCUACUGGUUCUUCUCCGGUUGAGCAUUCGCAGUGAAGGCUAGAUGUGGGGCUAGGGCCUGGGUUUAUGGCAGUGGCCUUUGAGGAAUGGGUAGUGGGGAAGCGGACCCCGAAACCAACCUCUCAAACACCAAGGUCAGUGCAGGGGUGGAAGGGUAAGAGGUGCCUGGAUGCCUGCAUGGGAGAGCACAUUGCUCAAGCCAUGGGGCAGCUCCUGGGCACGGCCAUGGAAUUCCAUCAACCCCAGCCACAUCUUUUCUUAAUUUUUACCUCUCGCUUGGUAUCCAACACUGCCCAGCACAUGGUAGGCCUCAGCAUCUGCCCAGCUCUUGGCCCCUGGGAGGCUCCCCGGCUGUGGAGGACUGAUGGGUGGGAUCUGAAAGGGCAGAUCUGAGAAGGAAGACUCUUUUGGGCAAAGGCAGUAAGCUCCCAACACAGAAGCUGACCCUGUCCUCUUUCCAGGAGGCUGAUGGCCCUGCCCUCGCUGUGUUGCUCACCCCGUUUUCCUGGGGACACAGCUGAGAAAACUCAGCAAAUGCUCCCAGGCCUCGUCUAUCUCCCCUACUCUUCCAGCAGGGCCCACCCAGCUGGGCCUCCCUGCCAGCAGCUGGAAAUCCCCAGAACCACUCUCACUUUCUUCCUACAACACCACCCUCCCCUGACCAGACACCUGCUCCCAACCAUCCUCACAGUGAGGAGCUCAGCUCCACAUGCAGCCCUAAGUCAGAGGGAAGUUCUUCCCAAAGCUCCUGGCUCCAUGCCCCCUGCCCAGGGCAUCUGGCCCUUCUCCUAAUGAUGGGCCCUCUCCUCUACCCUCUACCUCCCCAUCUAGCCUUCAGACCACCACACACUGAUUUGAUGGGAACUUGGAGGCCCUGGGCCCAAAGCACUCCUCCUGGUAUGGUAGUCUAUCCAAGUGGUUAGGCUCACAGAUCCUAUACCCAGCCUACACAUCCCUCCUCCAGCACACACUGGCUGUGUGGCCUUGGACAAGUUACCUAACCUCUCUGAGCUGCAUUCCCUCAUCUCUACUUCUUCCUAGACUCAUGAGGAUUAAGGGAAUCAAUGUUUGGAAAGUGUUUUAUAAAGGUCUCGGCACAUCAUUGGUGCUCAAGAGAGGAAUUGUACUAUCCUCAUCAUCACUGCAAAUUAACAUAGUUUGUUAACUGGCUAGCAGAACCACUACUGACUAAUCUGUGGCACAUGGCCCCCAGUGACCCUAACAGAUCCUAUUGCAGGGCAUAUUGGCUGGGCCAGGUCAACCUCUAACCCUGUGCCCAAAGCUGCAUCAGCACUGUGGGGGGCCACAGAAGAACUUUAUCCUUAAGGAAGAGGCAAUAUCACAGGCAAGAUAAGACUAAUUCACAAAGCAAUUAGUAAAAAAUACAAGAUAGCUUAAAAGUACUAAAUUGUUCAGUGCAGACUAUAAUUGUGUUAAUAGUAAGAACCAUUUGUAUGGCAUUUGAGAGUUUACCCAGCACUUGGAAAUACAUUAUCUCAUCUCAUGUAAUCCUCAAAGCAAACCAGCAAGGUAAGUACAGAUGUUCCUCAACUUACAAUAGUUACAUCCCAAUAAACCCUUCGUAAGUUGAAAAUAUCCUAAGUUGAAAAUGGGUAAUACCCUCAACCUACAGAAACAUCAUCAUUUGGCCUAGCCUAAAUGUGCUCAGAACACUGACAUUAGCCUACAGUUGGGCAAAGUCAUCUGUCAAUACAGCACACUGUGGAAUAUGGGCUAUUUAUCCUCGUGAUCACAGGGCUGACCGGGAGCUGGGCUCACUGCUGCUGCCCUGCGUUACAAGAGACUAUCAUACUGCAUAUCGUUAGCCUGGGGAAAAAUCAAAAUCUGAAGUCUACUGAAUGCAUACGAACUCAGGUCUACCGGAUGCAUAUUGCUUUCGCACCAUCACCAUCCUAAAGUUGCAAAGUCUUAAGUCAGGGAUCAUCUGUAUUGUUCGAUGCAGAUGAGGAAACCACGGCUCACAGAGAUUAAAUGGCUUAGUUGUGAUCACUACCAGUAAGUGGGUGACUCAGAAAAGACUCCACCCUGAUUCUCACUUCAUCUGGUACUAAGAUCCUGGCUUUUUCCAUUAAGUGGUGGGCGUGUGUGUGUGUGUGUGUGUGUGGGUGUGUGUGUGUAUUAGUCUGCUCAGGACUGGGUGAGAUUUAAAUAAUAGAAAUUUAUUUCCUCCCAGUUCUAGAGGAUGGAGGUCUCAGAUCGAGGUGCCCUCAGCGUUGCUUUAAUUCUGGGGCCCCUCUCCUUGGCCUGCAGAUAGCAGCCUUCUUCCUCUGACUUCACGCAGUCUUCCCUCUGUGCCACAUGUCUAUGUCUUAAUUUCCUCUUAUAAAAUAAGGGACACCAGUCCUACUGGUUUAGGGCCCAGCAUAAAGACUUCAUUUUAAUUACCUUUUUAAAGACCCUAUCUCCAAAUACAGUUACAUUCAGAGAUACUGUGGAUUCAACAUAUAAUGGAAUUGACACUAUUCAGCUCGCGUGGUGUGUGUGUGUGUUACAGGGGUGGGCACUUCUCCAGACUUCAUCUCGUUCUCAUCCUUUUUCUCAUUUCCCCAAGACUCCCUGUGGCCAGUGUAGCCUCAGUUCAGGUUUCCUGUCGAUGUGCAUUGUGCCUGGUGUGGCCUUAUUCUGGCCUCCCUCACAGGCAUGGUGGCCUCUCAGAGCUGGAUAGGUCUCAGAACCAUUCAGGGGAUGGGGUUUCCCUGUGACCUUGGCCCUGCCCUGAGGUCCUCAGAAUAUGGCAGCAAAAGAGAAGGAGCCACCUGCACGGGCCUGCCCACAGCAGCGCCCAGUGCCAGUUAAAGAGGCCCGGAAAACAGGGCUGCAGCAGCCCCUGGAGGACUCUUGGAGAAGCACAGCCAUGCUCCCAGAUCCAUCCAAGAAAGGAAGAUGGCGGGAGGACCCAGGAGCAGAGCCAGGGCCUGGGGAAGGAUGGAGGGAGGCAGGCAGCAGAGAAAGCCCCAUAAGAACGUGCCCGCUGACACAGGAGGCAGUGUGAGGAGAACUACACACCAAACUGGAGGCCACAAGGUCUGGGUUCAAGUUCCAGCCUCUCUGUUCCGUGUUGCCACCCUGGUAAGUUAUCUCGUCUCUCGGAGUCUCAGUGUUCUCACCCGCAACAUUGUGGGGGAAACAGUAGCACUAGCUUCACACAUUGCUGUCAGGAUUAAAUGAGCUAAUUUUUGUAAAAUGUCACCUGGCACACAGUAGGUGCUAUCAGGGCUGCAUAGUAACUUUUGUGGGUAUUAGGCAUUUUUGCUUUUAUGGGUGUCUUCCUCUGUAAAAAAAAUACUUAAAAUUCUAUUGUACAACUGUGUUAGAAGAAAGAUGAAUAAAAUCCCAGCUCUAUUAUACUGUUUUCUUUUGGUUUUAAGAGAAACGAAGACAUUUUCAUGGGCCUCUAAUGAAUGGUGGCCCCUAAGCAUUGGGCCUAUCAUAUCUAAUGGGUAAGUGGCCCCAGGGGCUGCAUCAGUGUCUGCUGCUGUGGAUGUUAAAGUGUCUCAGGAACUGCCAAGUGUCAUGGCUGGUAAGGAGUCACUGUCACUCCUUUAAGAACACUCCUUCUGGUAAGGAGUCACUGUCACUCCUUUAACAACACUCCUUCUGUCCUCCUGGAGUCCAGCAUCCCUGUCCUCCCCCUCUGGGUACUGACUGCAGUGCCUCAAUGUCCAGUGUUUCAGCAGAGGGCGCCAGAGGCCUUUCCCUUUAGUCCCACGGAGAUGCAGGGCUGGGAUGUUCUGAUGGGGAAUGCCAGGCAGAGAUCGCACCUGGCUGAGCAGCGCCUUCAGACCUCAGGCAGGCAGGAGAAGGAGGCUCUGGAGGACAAAUGCCCAUUAGGUCAUUUCACAGCAGCCUCCAGGGUGGCGGCAACAACGUCCUCUAGUGGCAAAAAAUCCCUCCAUCCAAUGCCUGCCUCCCCUCCCCUCCUAGGGGCUCCCAGCGUCCAAGGCAUGGGGCUUCUGUUGCCGUUCAUGUGUUUGUCUAAAACUCUCCUCAACCCACACAGGACUAGAAUCUGAUGAAAUGGAUUGGAACCUGAGUCAAAUGGGCUCAAUCCCAAGUGAUGUAUGAGCAACAGGGCGCCUUGACUCGGUUUGCACAUUGAUGCCAAUGCUUUCCCACAGGGUCUCCAUCUGGUGAGCCCCACCUCAACCUCUAUGGAUGCCAGCACCACCAGGGCCACUGGCCCAUGCCUGCUCUGCUGGCCCCUCAAGCCUGGGCCAAUGCAGGGCAGCAGGGGGAUGCCGCACACACCUCAGCCCACCACUCAGCGGCCCCCAGGGCUGCCCACAGUCCUGCAGCUUUUCUAGGAAGGGACCUGCCCAGAGACGUGCCGCUCCAUCACACUGAACAAGCAUUUUAUUCCAGGGAUUCCCAACAUGUGAGCAGGGUGGAAGCCUCUGACAAGGUGGGCC
This 5251-nucleotide long non-coding RNA is filed under the name Homo sapiens (human). Its description in RNAcentral is "HSALNT0035376". Lineage: Eukaryota; Metazoa; Chordata; Mammalia; Primates; Hominidae. The record is from RNAcentral.